Pogona vitticeps (central bearded dragon) is the source of this 407-nucleotide non-coding RNA. NCBI's taxonomy places the organism in Eukaryota, Metazoa, Chordata, Lepidosauria, Squamata, Agamidae. The record is from RefSeq and is a predicted model, not a curated record.
CGAAAAACAGAUCCUGCCAAAUGAAGAAGGGCAUUUCAGAGUUGGAGCAAAUAUUCUACAUGGGUUUUUUUUAAAGCUGAAUUUCAAGAUGUUUCUGGAUCACAUCUCCCAUCAUUCCUCAGCAUCAAGCCUUCAAAGCCUCUGUAGCAAGUUUUUCCAUUCCUUUCUCCCAUUAUUACUGUAAAAUGUGCUGCUCACCAAUGCUUGCCAAUAUCUUUUUAUUCUUUUUUGUACUCCUACCGUUCUGCACGCAUUGUGCUAUACUGGUAAGAAAGCUGGACUACGGCUGAGAGACCUUGGUUCAGAUCCCCAUUCAGCCAUGAAACUUGCCAGAUGAUUUUAUGGAGAAAGGAUGGCAUUAAAAAUGUGUAAAUAAAACAAUCCUCUCUACUGCUCAUUCCUCCUGG